Molecule: ribosomal RNA, 253 nt
Filed under: uncultured bacterium
Lineage: Bacteria
Description: partial 16S ribosomal RNA
Rfam family: Bacterial small subunit ribosomal RNA
Source: RNAcentral
UACGAAGGGGGCUAGCGUUGCUCGGAAUGACUGGGCGUAAAGGGCGCGUAGGCGGAUGGCUUUGUCGGGCGUGAAAUUCCAGGGCUUAACCUUGGGGCUGCGUUCGAGACGGGUUGUCUUGAGUGGGGAAGAGGGUCGUGGAAUUCCCAGUGUAGAGGUGAAAUUCGUAGAUAUUGGGAAGAACACCAGUGGCGAAGGCGGCGACCUGGUCCUUUACUGACGCUGAGGCGCGAAAGCGUGGGGAGCAAACAGG